Molecule: ribosomal RNA, 460 nt
Filed under: uncultured bacterium
Lineage: Bacteria
Description: partial 16S ribosomal RNA
Rfam family: Bacterial small subunit ribosomal RNA
Source: RNAcentral
CCUACGGGUGGCAUCAGUGAGGAAUAUUGGUCAAUGGGCGAGAGCCUGAACCAGCCAAGCCGCGUGAAGGAUGAAGGAUCUAUGGUUUGUAAACUUCUUUUAUAUGGGCAUAAAGUGAGGAACGUGUUCCUUUUUGUAUGUCUCAUAUGAAUAAGCAUCGGCUAACUCCGUGCCAGCAGCCGCGGUAAUACGGAGGAUGCGAGCGUUAUCCGGAUUUAUUGGGUUUAAAGGGUGCGUAGGUGGUUAAUUAAGUCAGCGGUGAAAGUUUGGGGCUCAACCAUAGAAUUGCCGUUGAAACUGGUUGACUUGAGUGUAGUUGAGGUAGGCGGAAUGCGUGGUGUAGCGGUGAAAUGCAUAGAUAGCACGCAGAACACCGAUUGCGAAGGCAGCUUUCUAAUCUAUAACUGACGCUGAAGCACGAAAGCGUGGGGAGCAAACAGGAUUAGAUACCCGAGUAGUC